Homo sapiens (human) is the source of this 2253-nucleotide RNA transcript. It is a transcript of the gene named leukotriene A4 hydrolase, with no coding region annotated. The record is from RefSeq and is marked reviewed. The transcript has 20 exons. Lineage: Eukaryota; Metazoa; Chordata; Mammalia; Primates; Hominidae.
CUCUAUCGACGAGUCUGGUAGCUGAGCGUUGGGCUGUAGGUCGCUGUGCUGUGUGAUCCCCCAGAGCCAUGCCCGAGAUAGUGGAUACCUGUUCGUUGGCCUCUCCGGCUUCCGUCUGCCGGACCAAGCACCUGCACCUGCGCUGCAGCGUCGACUUUACUCGCCGGACGCUGACCGGGACUGCUGCUCUCACGGUCCAGUCUCAGGAGGACAAUCUGCGCAGCCUGGUUUUGGAUACAAAGGACCUUACAAUAGAAAAAGUAGUGAUCAAUGGACAAGAAGUCAAAUAUGCUCUUGGAGAAAGACAAAGUUACAAGGGAUCGCCAAUGGAAAUCUCUCUUCCUAUCGCUUUGAGCAAAAAUCAAGAAAUUGUUAUAGAAAUUUCUUUUGAGACCUCUCCAAAAUCUUCUGCUCUCCAGUGGCUCACUCCUGAACAGACUUCUGGGAAGGAACACCCAUAUCUCUUUAGUCAGUGCCAGGCCAUCCACUGCAGAGCAAUCCUUCCUUGUCAGGACACUCCUUCUGUGAAAUUAACCUAUACUGCAGAGGUGUCUGUCCCUAAAGAACUGGUGGCACUUAUGAGUGCUAUUCGUGAUGGAGAAACACCUGACCCAGAAGACCCAAGCAGGAAAAUAUACAAAUUCAUCCAAAAAGUUCCAAUACCCUGCUACCUGAUUGCUUUAGUUGUUGGAGCUUUAGAAAGCAGGCAAAUUGGCCCAAGAACUUUGGUGUGGUCUGAGAAAGAGCAGGUGGAAAAGUCUGCUUAUGAGUUUUCUGAGACUGAAUCUAUGCUUAAAAUAGCAGAAGAUCUGGGAGGACCGUAUGUAUGGGGACAGUAUGACCUAUUGGUCCUGCCACCAUCCUUCCCUUAUGGUGGCAUGGAGAAUCCUUGCCUUACUUUUGUAACUCCUACUCUACUGGCAGGCGACAAGUCACUCUCCAAUGUCAUUGCACAUGAAAUAUCUCAUAGCUGGACAGGGAAUCUAGUGACCAACAAAACUUGGGAUCACUUUUGGUUAAAUGAGGGACAUACUGUGUACUUGGAACGCCACAUUUGCGGACGAUUGUUUGGUGAAAAGUUCAGACAUUUUAAUGCUCUGGGAGGAUGGGGAGAACUACAGAAUUCGGUAAAGACAUUUGGGGAGACACAUCCUUUCACCAAACUUGUGGUUGAUCUGACAGAUAUAGACCCUGAUGUAGCUUAUUCUUCAGUUCCCUAUGAGAAGGGCUUUGCUUUACUUUUUUACCUUGAACAACUGCUUGGAGGACCAGAGAUUUUCCUAGGAUUCUUAAAAGCUUAUGUUGAGAAGUUUUCCUAUAAGAGCAUAACUACUGAUGACUGGAAGGAUUUCCUGUAUUCCUAUUUUAAAGAUAAGGUUGAUGUUCUCAAUCAAGUUGAUUGGAAUGCCUGGCUCUACUCUCCUGGACUGCCUCCCAUAAAGCCCAACCUUGCUAGAGAUUAUGAGGACCUGAAGUCAUACAAAGGCAGUGGAAAAGAAAGGAGUAACUGAGAGAAGAGACGUUUGGGGGCUAGAAUCUAUUGGCAACUGAUUGGCUGUGUUAUGAUAUGACUCUGACAAAUGCUUGUAUUGCCUUAAGUCAAAGAUGGAUUACUGCCAAAGAAGAUGAUUUAAAUUCAUUCAAUGCCACAGACCUGAAGGAUCUCUCUUCUCAUCAAUUGAAUGAGUUUUUAGCACAGACGCUCCAGAGGGCACCUCUUCCAUUGGGGCACAUAAAGCGAAUGCAAGAGGUGUACAACUUCAAUGCCAUUAACAAUUCUGAAAUACGAUUCAGAUGGCUGCGGCUCUGCAUUCAAUCCAAGUGGGAGGACGCAAUUCCUUUGGCGCUAAAGAUGGCAACUGAACAAGGAAGAAUGAAGUUUACCCGGCCCUUAUUCAAGGAUCUUGCUGCCUUUGACAAAUCCCAUGAUCAAGCUGUCCGAACCUACCAAGAGCACAAAGCAAGCAUGCAUCCCGUGACUGCAAUGCUGGUGGGGAAAGACUUAAAAGUGGAUUAAAGACCUGCGUAUUGAUGAUUUUAGAGAUUUCUCUUUUUUAAAUGGAAUUCGUAAAGAAAUAUAAAACUUCAGCUCACAAUUAAAACUGUCUUUUUAGUUUUGGCUUUUUAUUGUUUUGUUGGUGAUUUUACUGAAAUAAAGUUGAGCUACUUCUUCUUAUAGUGGCAUAUUCUUUGUAAAUUUUAACAAGGUUUAAUCUUUUGAUUUACAAAUUAAAAAAUUUUGAAUUAGCUUUA